Molecule: long non-coding RNA, 497 nt
Organism: Xenia sp. Carnegie-2017
Lineage: Eukaryota; Metazoa; Cnidaria; Anthozoa; Malacalcyonacea; Xeniidae
Exons: 2
Source: RefSeq, a predicted model, not a curated record
UUUGCGCAACUGAAUUAGGACAUCGAUUAAAAGUUGUACUUGGCAUUUGGACCUCGAACAAUGGCUCGCAUUUUUUUCGCAAUCAAUUUUCAAUAAUCGCUUAUCAAUAACCAAUGCUAUCUUGCAAAUUAUGUUUAUUUUUCGAAGGAAUCCUUUAAUGCAAAGAAAUGCUGCGAUAUUAAAAAUAUUUUGAGAUCACUUGAGCUGUAUAAACCUGGUGUUGUGUUGGUAGGUUAGCCCAAAUUCAUCAGCCUUCGAUGUGUACACGACGGGAAUUUUGUGGCAGUUUUGGUACAAAAACCCAUAUCAUCUUACGCGCUCACUACGUCUCUGAGGGGCAAAUUUUAGAAAUUAUGAGUACGAUGUUGGUAUUUGUGAUCUUACCGUCAUGCUCUUUGCCAUCCUCAUCAUCAGCACUAACAGAGAGAAGACUUAUUUAGACUGAAGAUUUGAAUACAAAAUUUAUUAUUCGUCAGUAAAAGUUAAAUCGUUUCAAA